RNAcentral lists this ribosomal RNA (440 nucleotides) under uncultured bacterium. RNAcentral describes it as "partial 16S ribosomal RNA". It matches the Rfam family "Bacterial small subunit ribosomal RNA", at positions 338 to 795 of the family's 1533-position model. The record is from RNAcentral.
CCUACGGGAGGCUGCAGUGGGGAAUAUUGCUCAAUGGGGGGAACCCUGAUGCAGCGACGCCGCGUGGGUGAAGAAGUAAUUCGGUAUGUUAAGCCCUUUCUGCAGGAAAGAAAAUGACGGUACCUGACUAAGAAGCACCGGCUAACUACGUGACAGAAGCCGCGGUAAUACGUCGGGGGCAAGCGUUAUCCGGAUUUACUGGGGGUAAAGGGAGCGUAGACGGGAGUGCAAGUCCGGAGGGAAAGCCCGGGGCGCAACCCUGGGACUGCUGUGGAAACUGUAAAGCUGGAGUGCAGGAGGGGCAGGCGGAAUUCCUGGUGUAGCGGUGAAAUGCGUAGAUAUCAGGAGGAACACCGGUGGCGAAGGCGGCCUGCUGGACUGCAACUGACGGUGAGGCCCGAAAGCGUGGGGAGCAAACAGGAUUAGAUACCCGGGUAGUC